CAGCAGCCGCGGGAAUACGUAGGGUGCAAGCGUUAAUCGGAAUUACUGGGCGUAAAGCGUGCGCAGGCGGUUGUGUAAGACAGGUGUGAAAUCCCCGGGCUUAACCUGGGAAUUGCAUUUGUGACUGCACGACUAGAGUGUGUCAGAGGGGGGUGGAAUUCCACGUGUAGCAGUGAAAUGCGUAGAUAUGUGGAGGGACACCAAUGGCGAAGGCAGCCCCCUGGGAUAACACUGACGCUCAUGCACGAAAGCGUGGGGAGCAAACAGGAUUAGAUACCCCUGUAGUCCCUGUCUCUUAUAC
RNAcentral lists this ribosomal RNA (301 nucleotides) under uncultured bacterium. RNAcentral describes it as "partial 16S ribosomal RNA". It matches the Rfam family "Bacterial small subunit ribosomal RNA", at positions 509 to 807 of the family's 1533-position model. The record is from RNAcentral.